Molecule: ribosomal RNA, 433 nt
Filed under: uncultured bacterium
Lineage: Bacteria
Description: partial 16S ribosomal RNA
Rfam family: Bacterial small subunit ribosomal RNA
Source: RNAcentral
AACGAACGCUGGCGGCAUGCCUAACACAUGCAAGUCGAACGAGACCUUCGGGUCUAGUGGCGCACGGGUGCGUAACGCGUGGGAACCUGCCCUUAGGUUCGGAAUAACUCCCCGAAAGGGGUGCUAAUACCGGAUAAUGUCUUCGGACCAAAGAUUUAUCGCCUUUGGAUGGGCCCGCGUUGGAUUAGCUAGUUGGUAGGGUAAAAGCCUACCAAGGCGACGAUCCAUAGCUGGUCUGAGAGGAUGAUCAGCCACACUGGGACUGAGCCACGGCCCAGACUCCUACGGGAGGUAGCAGUGGGGAAUAUUGGACAAUGGGCGAAAGCCUGAUCCAGCAAUGCCGCGUGAGUGAUGAAGGCCUUAGGGUUGUAAAGCUCUUUUACCCGGGAUGAUAAUGACAGUACCGGGAGAAUAAGCUCCGGCUAACUCCGUG